AAAGAAAUAUUUUUAAAAGCUUCUAACUUUUAUUUGAGCAUUAAUGUGUUUAU
RNAcentral lists this transfer RNA (53 nucleotides) under Eniclases pseudoluteolus. RNAcentral's name for it is "partial tRNA-Ser". The record is from RNAcentral. Lineage: Eukaryota; Metazoa; Arthropoda; Insecta; Coleoptera; Lycidae.